Molecule: transfer-messenger RNA, 239 nt
Filed under: bacterium
Lineage: Bacteria
Description: partial transfer-messenger RNA
Rfam family: transfer-messenger RNA
About the family: Bacterial tmRNA, also known as 10Sa RNA or SsrA, is named for its dual tRNA and mRNA-like properties. Its role is to liberate the mRNA from a stalled ribosome.
Source: RNAcentral
GCUUAAUUGACAGCAACGUCCCAAUCUUGAUGCCUGUUAGGGUGCGGGGCGACUACUUAGCAGGCUGGCGCAUCGAGUCGGGUAUCCGGGCAAGAUCGUAAGAAUCCACAGGAUAAUCGGAAAGAUGAACGGGCUGAGCGAGGCUCAUCAUUCUUAAAGCAGAAGACGCCUGGCUAAACAUGUAGACGCUUUUGUAGAAGCUAUCUAGGACAGGGGUUCGACUCCCCUCGCCUCCACCA